CAGAAAGAGACAGAAGCAGAGAGGGAGAGAGGCAGCCCGGGGUAGGGCUCAGCCCCUCAUCCUCCUCCAAAUGCAGAGGUCACUGCCAACAGGGAGCCUGCCUGCCCUGGGCUGCAGGCAACAGGGUAGGAUUGGGAGCUGGUGCUGAGCCUGGGGUGGAGUCAGGUCGCCCAGGUCUGCCUGCACCCAUUAUGGGACUCUGUCCUUCCCCUCCACUCACAUUUCCUGUGCACCACCCUUGUGCCAGCCCUGUGCUGGUAUUUUCUCAUUUCAGGAGGCCGGCCCUCUGCUCUGCAGUGCAAUAGGACCCCGUGGGGACACUGCUGUGCAGUACAAUAGGACCCCUUGGGGACACUGCUGUUCAGUGCAAUAGGACCCCGAGGCGACACUGCUGUGCAGUGCAAUAGGACCCUGUGGGGACACUGUCAGGAACUCCUAGCUUUUGCAGGACUAGUUCUUUGGAUGAGAGCAGAGCAGAGCAGAGCUGGGAAGAUCCAGGUGGUCUGGGGAGAGAGCAUUUCCAGGUAACCCCAUGCGACAGGGAGUGGAGCUGAGGAAGGGUCACUCUCCCAGGCAGGAGUAAAGUAGCAGGACUGGGAGAAAGUGGACAGGGAACCCCAGGCCUCCGAGAUGCGUCUGGGAAGCACCAGCUGGUGGUAUUAGUGAUGGCUGUGAUAUAUGCACACUGCUGCUAUUGCUGGGAGGGUAUGAACCCUAGGCCUGGUGUGGAUACCAGAACUUCCAGAAAGGUUUACCAGCUUCUGCUAUCCAUACCUCCAAGUGUUCCUCCACCUAACAGAGUGAUCUUCCUGAGGUAGGAAGAUCGGCUUGAGCCCAGGAGUUCCAGGCUGCGGUGAACUAUGAUCGCACCUGUGAAUAGCCACUGCACUCCAGCCUGGGUGACAGAGCAAGACCCCA
Molecule: long non-coding RNA, 918 nt
Filed under: Pan troglodytes (chimpanzee)
Lineage: Eukaryota; Metazoa; Chordata; Mammalia; Primates; Hominidae
Description: long non-coding RNA NONPTRT000242
Source: RNAcentral